This 1360-nucleotide ribosomal RNA is filed under the name Salmonella enterica. RNAcentral describes it as "partial 23S ribosomal RNA". It matches the Rfam family "Bacterial large subunit ribosomal RNA", at positions 1589 to 2925 of the family's 2925-position model. Lineage: Bacteria; Pseudomonadati; Pseudomonadota; Gammaproteobacteria; Enterobacterales; Enterobacteriaceae. RNAcentral also lists the same sequence under 1 other name. The record is from RNAcentral.
AGCAACAAAUGCCCUGCUUCCAGGAAAAGCCUCUAAGCAUCAGGUAACAUCAAAUCGUACCCCAAACCGACACAGGUGGUCAGGUAGAGAAUACCAAGGCGCUUGAGAGAACUCGGGUGAAGGAACUAGGCAAAAUGGUGCCGUAACUUCGGGAGAAGGCACGCUGACACGUAGGUGAAGUGAUUUACUCAUGGAGCUGAAGUCAGUCGAAGAUACCAGCUGGCUGCAACUGUUUAUUAAAAACACAGCACUGUGCAAACACGAAAGUGGACGUAUACGGUGUGACGCCUGCCCGGUGCCGGAAGGUUAAUUGAUGGGGUCAGCGCAAGCGAAGCUCCUGAUCGAAGCCCCGGUAAACGGCGGCCGUAACUAUAACGGUCCUAAGGUAGCGAAAUUCCUUGUCGGGUAAGUUCCGACCUGCACGAAUGGCGUAAUGAUGGCCAGGCUGUCUCCACCCGAGACUCAGUGAAAUUGAACUCGCUGUGAAGAUGCAGUGUACCCGCGGCAAGACGGAAAGACCCCGUGAACCUUUACUAUAGCUUGACACUGAACAUUGAGCCUUGAUGUGUAGGAUAGGUGGGAGGCUUUGAAGUGUGGACGCCAGUCUGCAUGGAGCCGACCUUGAAAUACCACCCUUUAAUGUUUGAUGUUCUAACGUGGACCCGUUACCCGGGUUGCGGACAGUGUCUGGUGGGUAGUUUGACUGGGGCGGUCUCCUCCUAAAGAGUAACGGAGGAGCACGAAGGUUGGCUAAUCCUGGUCGGACAUCAGGAGGUUAGUGCAAUGGCAUAAGCCAGCUUGACUGCGAGCGUGACGGCGCGAGCAGGUGCGAAAGCAGGUCAUAGUGAUCCGGUGGUUCUGAAUGGAAGGGCCAUCGCUCAACGGAUAAAAGGUACUCCGGGGAUAACAGGCUGAUACCGCCCAAGAGUUCAUAUCGACGGCGGUGUUUGGCACCUCGAUGUCGGCUCAUCACAUCCUGGGGCUGAAGUAGGUCCCAAGGGUAUGGCUGUUCGCCAUUUAAAGUGGUACGCGAGCUGGGUUUAGAACGUCGUGAGACAGUUCGGUCCCUAUCUGCCGUGGGCGCUGGAGAACUGAGGGGGGCUGCUCCUAGUACGAGAGGACCGGAGUGGACGCAUCACUGGUGUUCGGGUUGUCAUGCCAAUGGCACUGCCCGGUAGCUAAAUGCGGAAGAGAUAAGUGCUGAAAGCAUCUAAGCACGAAACUUGCCCCGAGAUGAGUUCUCCCUGAGACUUAAAGUCUCCUGAAGGAACGUUGAAGACGACGACGUUGAUAGGCCGGGUGUGUAAGCGCAGCGAUGCGUUGAGCUAACCGGUACUAAUGAACCGUGAGGCUUAACCUU